UGGUGAUCCACACGAAAACUUGAUCAAGACUUUAGCUCCAAAGACUUUUGAUCCUUAAUGUAGAAUUCUUCUAAAGAACUCUAAUGGCUUGCUUUUCUUCCUUUCUAUUUUCCUUUAGCCUUCUAAAAUCACUUCUAAUCCUUUUGUCCUAAAGAAGACCACCUUGUCAUGGCUUAGGACACACUAGAAGCAAUGCUAGAAAGAAAGAAACUAAUGUAAGAAAGAAAGAAGAGAGGAGUGGGGUAGAAUUGGAAUGAUGAAACCCAUGGAGUGCUAACCUAUUUAUAAUAGGUGUAGGGAUGCAUCUCCAAGGGAUGCAUCCCAUCCACACAUCCUCUCAUGAAAGGGCAUCAUCUAAAGGGCCAUAUCAAAUAAGAGGAGGUGCAGAUCAAGUGAGGAGGUGUAUCAAAUGAUAUGUCCUUUCAUGUGGUGCCAUAUUUUGACCAAGUCAACAUCACAU
Molecule: long non-coding RNA, 460 nt
Filed under: Phoenix dactylifera (date palm)
Lineage: Eukaryota; Viridiplantae; Streptophyta; Magnoliopsida; Arecales; Arecaceae
Description: long non-coding RNA (PDAC_LNC019867)
Source: RNAcentral